RNAcentral lists this ribosomal RNA (555 nucleotides) under uncultured beta proteobacterium. RNAcentral describes it as "bacterial SSU rRNA". It matches the Rfam family "Bacterial small subunit ribosomal RNA", at positions 493 to 1045 of the family's 1533-position model. The record is from RNAcentral. Lineage: Bacteria; Pseudomonadati; Pseudomonadota; Betaproteobacteria.
CCGGCUAACUACGUGCCAGCAGCCGCGGUAAUACGUAGGGUGCGAGCGUUAAUCGGAAUUACUGGGCGUAAAGCGUGCGCAGGCGGUUCGUUAAGACAGAUGUGAAAUCCCCGGGCUUAACCUGGGAACUGCAUUUGUGACUGGCGAGCUAGAGUAUGGCAGAGGGGGGUAGAAUUCCACGUGUAGCAGUGAAAUGCGUAGAGAUGUGGAGGAAUACCGAUGGCGAAGGCAGCCCCCUGGGCCAAUACUGACGCUCAUGCACGAAAGCGUGGGGAGCAAACAGGAUUAGAUANCCCUGGUAGUCCACGCCCUAAACGAUGUCAACUAGUUGUUGGGUCUUCAUUGACUUAGUAACGUAGCUAACGCGUGAAGUUGACCGCCUGGGGAGUACGGUCGCAAGAUUAAAACUCAAAGGAAUUGACGGGGACCCGCACAAGCGGUGGAUGAUGUGGAUUAAUUCGAUGCAACGCGAAAAACCUUACCUACCCUUGACAUGGUCGGAACCCUGCUGAAAGGUGGGGGUGCUCGAAAGAGAACCGAUACACAGGUGCUGCA